GGUGCGAGCGUUGUCCGGAUUUAUUGGGCGUAAAGGGCUCGUAGGUGGUUGAUCGCGUCGGAAGUGUAAUCUUGGGGCUUAACCCUGAGCGUGCUUUCGAUACGGGUUGACUUGAGGAAGGUAGGGGAGAAUGGAAUUCCUGGUGGAGCGGUGGAAUGCGCAGAUAUCAGGAGGAACACCAGUGGCGAAGGCGGUUCUCUGGGCCUUUCCUGACGCUGAGGAGCGAAAGCGUGGGGAGCGAACAGGCUUAGAUACCCUGGUAGUCCACGCUGUAAACGGUGGGUACUAGGUGUGGGGUCCAUUCCACGGGUUCCGUGCCGUAGCUAACGCUUUAAGUACCCCGCCUGGGGAGUACGGCCGCAAGGCUAAAACUCAAAGGAAUUGACGGGGCCCCGCACAAGCGGCGGAGCAUGCGGAUUAAUUCGAUGCAACGCGUAGAACCUUACCUGGGUUKGACAUGGAUCGGGAGUGCUCAGAGAUGGGUGUSCCUCUUUUGGGGUCGGUUCACAGGUGGUGCAUGGUUGUCGUCAGCUCGUGUCGUGAGAUGUUGGGUUAAGUCCCGCAACGAGCGUAACCCUUGUCUUAUGUUGCCAGCACGUUGUGGUGGGGACUCGUGAGAGACUGCCGGGGUGAACUCGGAGGAAGGUGGGGAUGACGUCAAAUCAUCAUGCCCCUUAUGUCCAGGGCUUCACACAUGCUACAAUGGCCGGUACAGUAGGUUGCGAGACCGUGAGGUGGAGCUAAUCCUUUAAAGCUGGUCGUAGUUCGGACUGGGGUCUGCAACUCGACCCCAUGAAGUCGGAGUCGCUAGUAAUCGCAGA
Molecule: ribosomal RNA, 821 nt
Filed under: uncultured bacterium
Lineage: Bacteria
Description: bacterial SSU rRNA
Rfam family: Bacterial small subunit ribosomal RNA
Source: RNAcentral